CUCCUUCUUCAUUCUUUCUCCAUUUUCUGCAACUUCUCCUCCUCUCUCUGUUUUUCUGGUUUUACAGCAGCAGGAAGAGCAAGAGCUCUAGCUCUUCUUCGUCUCUCACUCUCGGUUGGUACCCAAACAGCAGCUGUCCCCCUCUCUUUCGGUCAGUGCUAAAACCAGCAACAAAAGCUCUCACAAACCACUCUCUGGAACUCACUCUGUCGCCACAAAAAGUAUGGGUUUCAGCAAGUGUUUCUCCUUUCACUUUUCUGGUUUUAGGCUCACGUAGAACAGCAGAGAAUUUCUUGUUCUUCUCUCUUUUGUUUCUGUUUUUCUACAGAAACUUAUCUCUCAAAAGUUCUCUCCUCUCUCUUGGUCUUUAAUGCAGAAAAUCUCUCAUCUUUCCCUCUUUAUUUUCUGUUCUAUAGGUGCUGUAACUUUCUGUAAAACCAGCAGCAUUUCUUCUCCUUUGCUGCACAAAAACAGCAAAUAAAUUCACUGUUUCACAGCCCCAAAACAGCAGCUUUCUCUUCUCCUUCUUAGCUUAGAAUCAGUAAAGAAAGUAAUAGAAGCUCUUCAAACCCAGCUUUCCUCAUCUCUCACUCUCGGGUCUGUGUAAAAGACAGCAGAAAACUAUUCCUCUCUUCUUACUUUCAGUUUCCAGCAAAGGAGAAGGAAGGAUAAAAAGAAAAAGAUAAAGUCUCCUUCACUUUCGGUCAAUUUCAGCAAACAAGGAGACAAGUUCUACCUAGUUCUAGAAGACUAGCUAGAAGCAAUCCGUAGAAGGUAGCUAAAAUACUGCUCAGAAAAUACCAGAUGACACUGUAGACCGGAGUCUUUUCUUUAUGGAUGGCAUAGACCCCCACCCUAAGAGCAAUAGAUCGAUAAAGACCGGUCUAACUUUUGUAUUGUACAUAUUUAUUUUGAAUUUCUAGAAAUGAGAUGUAUUAACUCAAGAACUACUAUGUAUAUGUUCUUAUAAUGAAAUAUAGCUAUGCGUUAUUCC
This is a long non-coding RNA of Alnus glutinosa, 994 nucleotides long. RefSeq lists it as uncharacterized. The record is from RefSeq and is a predicted model, not a curated record. The transcript is spliced from 2 exons. NCBI's taxonomy places the organism in Eukaryota, Viridiplantae, Streptophyta, Magnoliopsida, Fagales, Betulaceae.